UCCAGUUCUCUUCCAUCUCCAAAUAUCUGUUGGUGCUCCAGACAUUUUCAUUCCGCAAACCAGCCGAUGAAAUGGAUGAAACAUCGUGACUGGGUUCCAGCGCUACACAAGGGACCUGCUGCAAACAUACCACCAUGCCAAUCAGAUUACUUCUUCCAUGUGAGGGUGAAGAGGUGACCCUCCUGGAUAAGAUGGUGGAGGUUUGCUGCGUUUUGGUGAACAGUGUGAUAAUAAAACCAGGGAAGAAUGAAACCUGCUCCUGUUAAAUAUUCUUAAGUCUUGUGCUGUUAAAAUUACUGUAUUUUUUCAAAAGAUACAGUAAAUAAUGUUAGUAGUGGGUGAUGUCAUGUAAACACUCAUGAUUUUGUGUAAACAUUUUGUCAUUUGUAAACUAUAAAUGACUUGGAUUCUACAUUGUAACUGAUGUGGUGUUCUAUAAGGUGGUUUCAAU
Long non-coding RNA from Haplochromis burtoni (Burton's mouthbrooder), 451 nucleotides. RefSeq lists it as uncharacterized. The transcript is spliced from 2 exons. NCBI's taxonomy places the organism in Eukaryota, Metazoa, Chordata, Actinopteri, Cichliformes, Cichlidae. The record is from RefSeq and is a predicted model, not a curated record.